AGUGGGGGAUAACGUAGCGAAAGUUACGCUAAUACCGCAUAUUCUGUGAGCAGGAAAGAGGGGGAUCGCAAGACCUCUCGCUUUCGGAGCGGCCGAUGUCGGAUUAGCUAGUUGGCGGGGUAAAGGCCCACCAAGGCGACGAUCCGUAGCGGGUCUGAGAGGAUGAUCCGCCACACUGGGACUGAGACACGGCCCAGACUCCUACGGGAGGCAGCAGUGGGGAAUUUUGGACAAUGGGGGCAACCCUGAUCCAGCCAUGCCGCGUGAGUGAAGAAGGCCUUCGGGUUGUAAAGCUCUUUCGGCUGGGAAGAAAUCGCAUCUCCUAAUACGGGGUGUGGAUGACGGUACCAGCAUAAGAAGCACCGGCUAACUACGUGCCAGCAGCCGCGGUAAUACGUAGGGUGCGAGCGUUAAUCGGAAUUACUGGGCGUAAAGCGUGCGCAGGCGGUUUCGUAAGACAGACGUGAAAUCCCCGGGCUCAACCUGGGAACUGCGUUUGUGACUGCGAGGCUAGAGUAUGGCAGAGGGGGGUGGAAUUCCA
This 541-nucleotide ribosomal RNA is filed under the name uncultured bacterium. Its description in RNAcentral is "bacterial SSU rRNA". It matches the Rfam family "Bacterial small subunit ribosomal RNA", at positions 135 to 671 of the family's 1533-position model. The record is from RNAcentral.